ACGAACGCUGGCGGCGUGCCUAAUACAUGCAAGUCGAACGGUCUUUCUAUGGAAGCUUGCUUCCACUGAGAAGAUAGUGGCGAACGGGUGAGUAACACGUGGGUAACCUGCCCAUAAGAGGGGGGAUAACAUCCGGAAACGGGUGCUAAUACCGCAUAGUUUUCUUGGUCGCAUGAUCGGGAAAGGAAAGACGGCCUUUGUGCUGUCGCUUAUGGAUGGACCCGCGGCGUAUUAGUUAGUUGGUGAGGUAACGGCUCACCAAGACGAUGAUACGUAGCCGACCUGAGAGGGUGAUCGGCCACAUUGGGACUGAGACACGGCCCAAACUCCUACGGGAGGCAGCAGUAGGGAAUCUUCCGCAAUGGACGAAAGUCUGACGGAGCAACGCCGCGUGAGUGAAAGAAGGUUUUCGGAUCGUAAAACUCUGUUGUCAGAGAAGAACAAGUUGGAGAGUAACUGCUCCAGCCUUGACGGUAUCUGACCAGAAAGCCACGGCUAACUACGUGCCAGCCGCGGC
Molecule: ribosomal RNA, 517 nt
Filed under: uncultured bacterium
Lineage: Bacteria
Description: bacterial SSU rRNA
Rfam family: Bacterial small subunit ribosomal RNA
Source: RNAcentral